GACGAACGCUGGCGGCGUGCUUAACACAUGCAAGUCGAACGGAAAGGCCCUGCUUUUGUGGGGUGCUCGAGUGGCGAACGGGUGAGUAACACGUGAGUAACCUGCCCUUGACUUUGGGAUAACUUCACGAAACUGGGGCUAAUACCGGAUAGGAGCUCCUGCUGCAUGGUGGGGGUUGGAAAGUUUCGGCGGUUGGGGAUGGACUCGCGGCUUAUCAGCUUGUUGGUGGGGUAGUGGCUUACCAAGGCUUUGACGGGUAGCCGGCCUGGGAGGGUGACCGGCCACCUGGGGCCUGCGAUACGGCCCAGACUCGAACGGGAGGCAGCAGUGGGGAAUAUUGCACAGUGGGCGGAAGCCUGUUGCGGCAACGCCGCGUGCGGGAUGACGGCCUUCGGGUUGUGAACCGCUUUCGCCUGAGACGAAGCGUGAGUGACGGUACUGGGUCAAGAAGCACCGGCUAACUACGUG
RNAcentral lists this ribosomal RNA (468 nucleotides) under uncultured bacterium. RNAcentral describes it as "partial 16S ribosomal RNA". It matches the Rfam family "Bacterial small subunit ribosomal RNA", at positions 28 to 507 of the family's 1533-position model. The record is from RNAcentral.